This 1729-nucleotide ribosomal RNA is filed under the name Vibrio parahaemolyticus. RNAcentral describes it as "bacterial LSU rRNA". It matches the Rfam family "Bacterial large subunit ribosomal RNA", at positions 1238 to 2925 of the family's 2925-position model. The record is from RNAcentral. Lineage: Bacteria; Pseudomonadati; Pseudomonadota; Gammaproteobacteria; Vibrionales; Vibrionaceae.
GUUCUGUAAGCGGUUGAAGGUGUGUGGUAACGCAUGCUGGACGUAUCAGAAGUGCGAAUGCUGACAUGAGUAACGAUAAAGGGGGUGAAAAACCUCCUCGCCGGAAGACCAAGGGUUCCUGUCCAACGUUAAUCGGGGCAGGGUAAGUCGACCCCUAAGGCGAGGCCGAAAGGCGUAGUCGAUGGGAAACGGGUUAAUAUUCCCGUACUUCUUACAAUUGCGAUGGGGGGACGGAGAAGGCUAGGUGGGCCCUGGCGACGGUUGUCCAGGUUCAAGUGCGUAGGCUUGAGAGUUAGGUAAAUCCGGCUCUUUUUAAGGCUGAGACACGACGUCGAGCCACUACGGUGGUGAAGUCAUUGAUGCCAUGCUUCCAGGAAAAGCCUCUAAGCUUCAGAUUGUAAGGAAUCGUACCCCAAACCGACACAGGUGGUCGGGUAGAGAAUACCAAGGCGCUUGAGAGAACUCGGGUGAAGGAACUAGGCAAAAUGGUACCGUAACUUCGGGAGAAGGUACGCUCUCGACGGUGAAGUCCCUCGCGGAUGGAGCUAUUGAGAGUCGCAGAUACCAGGUGGCUGCAACUGUUUAUUAAAAACACAGCACUGUGCAAAAUCGUAAGAUGACGUAUACGGUGUGACGCCUGCCCGGUGCCGGAAGGUUAAUUGAUGGGGUUAGACUUCGGUCGAAGCUCUUGAUCGAAGCCCCGGUAAACGGCGGCCGUAACUAUAACGGUCCUAAGGUAGCGAAAUUCCUUGUCGGGUAAGUUCCGACCUGCACGAAUGGCGUAAUGAUGGCCACGCUGUCUCCACCCGAGACUCAGUGAAAUUGAAAUCGCUGUGAAGAUGCAGUGUACCCGCGGCUAGACGGAAAGACCCCGUGAACCUUUACUACAGCUUGGCACUGAACAUUGACCCUACAUGUGUAGGAUAGGUGGGAGGCUUUGAAGCACGUACGCCAGUAUGUGUGGAGCCGUCCUUGAAAUACCACCCUUGUAGUGUUGAUGUUCUAACGUCGACCCCUUAUCGGGGUUGCGGACAGUGCCUGGUGGGUAGUUUGACUGGGGCGGUCUCCUCCCAAAGAGUAACGGAGGAGCACGAAGGUGGGCUAAUCACGGUUGGACAUCGUGAGGUUAGUGCAAUGGCAUAAGCCCGCUUGACUGCGAGAAUGACAAUUCGAGCAGGUGCGAAAGCAGGUCAUAGUGAUCCGGUGGUUCUGAAUGGAAGGGCCAUCGCUCAACGGAUAAAAGGUACUCCGGGGAUAACAGGCUGAUACCGCCCAAGAGUUCAUAUCGACGGCGGUGUUUGGCACCUCGAUGUCGGCUCAUCACAUCCUGGGGCUGAAGUCGGUCCCAAGGGUAUGGCUGUUCGCCAUUUAAAGUGGUACGCGAGCUGGGUUUAGAACGUCGUGAGACAGUUCGGUCCCUAUCUGCCGUGGGCGUUGGAAGAUUGAAGGGGGCUGCUCCUAGUACGAGAGGACCGGAGUGGACGAACCUCUGGUGUUCGGGUUGUGUCGCCAGACGCAUUGCCCGGUAGCUAAGUUCGGAAUCGAUAACCGCUGAAAGCAUCUAAGCGGGAAGCGAGCCCUGAGAUGAGUCUUCCCUGAUACUUUAAGUAUCCUAAAGGGUUGUCGGAGACUACGACGUUGAUAGGUCAGGUGUGUAAGUGCUGUGAGGCAUUGAGCUAACUGAUACUAAUUGCCCGUGAGGCUUAACCAUACAACACCCAAGGGGUUU